UCUUUAACUGGCCGCCGUGCGAUAAGGGGAUCCCAAGCUGCGUAGGCAUAGCAGUCCUACGCUUUUGUCCACUCCUAGGGUGGUGGACGAAUAAGGGCUGGGCAAGACCGGUGCCAGCCGCCGCGGUNAUACCGGCAGCCCGAGUGAUGGCCGAUCUUAUUGGGCCUAAAGCGUCCGUAGCUGGCCGCACAAGUCCAUCGGGAAAUCCACCUGCUCAACAGGUGGGCGUCCGGUGGAAACUGUGUGGCUUGGGACCGGAAGGCGCNACGGGUACGUCCGGGGUANGAGUGAAAUCCUGUAAUCCUGGACGGACCGCCGAUGGCGAAAGCACGUCGCGAANACGGAUCCNACAGUGAGGGACGAAAGCUAGGGUCUCGAACCGGAUUANAUACCCGGGUAGUCCUAGCCGUAAACACUGCCUGCUAGGUGUGGCACCCACUACGAGUGGGUGCUGNGCCGUAGGGAAGCCGCUAAGCANGCCGCCUGGGAAGUACGUCCGCAAGGAUGAAACUUAAAGGAAUUG
This 523-nucleotide ribosomal RNA is filed under the name uncultured haloarchaeon. RNAcentral describes it as "bacterial SSU rRNA". It matches the Rfam family "Archaeal small subunit ribosomal RNA", at positions 347 to 867 of the family's 1478-position model. Lineage: Archaea; Methanobacteriati; Methanobacteriota; Halobacteria; Halobacteriales; Halobacteriaceae. The record is from RNAcentral.